Actinoplanes awajinensis subsp. mycoplanecinus is the source of this 160-nucleotide non-coding RNA. NCBI's taxonomy places the organism in Bacteria, Bacillati, Actinomycetota, Actinomycetes, Micromonosporales, Micromonosporaceae. The record is from Rfam.
CCGGGCGCGUGCUCGCUGCCUGGCCCCUUCCUUGGCGUGCGUCGCUGGUAACGGCGGGGUGCGAAGCCCGGGGGAAAGCCGAAGGAUCUCCGUUCCAUCAUGGAGGUCACGGGUGAGGGGCAGACCGGACGGGUGAAUUGCGUGAACCUUCGUUGAGGCU